RNAcentral lists this ribosomal RNA (309 nucleotides) under uncultured eukaryote. Its description in RNAcentral is "partial 18S ribosomal RNA". It matches the Rfam family "Eukaryotic small subunit ribosomal RNA", at positions 1470 to 1796 of the family's 1831-position model. The record is from RNAcentral.
CCCUUAGAUGUUCUGGGCGGCCCGCGCACUACAAUGGCGUGUGCAGCGAGUGUCGAAGUAGAGUUUUCCGAGGUAUUCUUGCAAUGCUCGUUUUGAUGGGGAUAGACCCUUGCAACUGUUGGUUUUGAACGAGGAAUUCCUUGUAAGCAUGGUUUAUCAUCCGACGCUGAAUGCGUCCCUGCCCUUUGUACACACCGCCCGUCGCUCCUACCGAUGAGUCGUCCGGUGAAGUUCGUAGACCUCGUGAUCGCGGAUCACUGGGGGAAGCAAAAUGAACCUCGCGGUUUAGAGGAAGGAGAAGUCGUAACA